AAGAUUUUAAGUUAAAUAAACUAGUAACCUUCAAAGUUAAAAAUAAUAAAUUAAUUAAAUCUUG
This 64-nucleotide transfer RNA is filed under the name Bathynella cf. rufa JHS-2017. RNAcentral's name for it is "tRNA-Trp". Lineage: Eukaryota; Metazoa; Arthropoda; Malacostraca; Bathynellacea; Bathynellidae. The record is from RNAcentral.